This 241-nucleotide ribosomal RNA is filed under the name uncultured bacterium. Its description in RNAcentral is "partial 16S ribosomal RNA". It matches the Rfam family "Bacterial small subunit ribosomal RNA", at positions 92 to 334 of the family's 1533-position model. The record is from RNAcentral.
CGACCGGCGCACGGGUGAGUAACGCGUAUGCAACCUGCCUGAUACCGGGGUAUAGCCCAUGGAAACGUGGAUUAACACCCCAUAGUACUUUUAUCCUGCAUGGGAUGUGAGUUAAAUGUUCAAGGUAUCGGAUGGGCAUGCGUCCUAUUAGUUAGUUGGCGGGGUAACGGCCCACCAAGCCGACGGUGUCUAGGGGUUCUGAGAGGAAGGUCCCCCACACUGGAACUGAGACACGGUCCAG